UUCACAUACCUUAAAUUUUAAAAUUUGUUUCUUUGUGCACAAUUUUUCUCACAGUUAUACCCCUUUUUUUCCGGAUCGCAGGUAAGCGACGGGCGGUCGAGCGGCGAUCGCAGGUCGGCGGCGCGCGGCCGCCGGCUUGGUCUUCCUCAGCGCGUCGGGCGCAGGCGGCGGGGUCCCUCCAGCUUCCUCCGAUGGCGGGCGACAGUGACUGCCUGUUUUAGCGGCGUGCGUCGGGCUCGGCGGGGCCAUCCACUACCCGGAUCCGGCGGCGGCGGCCGUCCCUCGCCCGGCCCCGCACAGAUCCACUAGGGGCUGCGGGAGGAGAGCCCAGGGGCAGUCUCGGCGAUGGCUGGCGGACGACGGUCGUGCACCGGGUGGAGUCCGGUGGUGGGCGGCGCAGCCGCUCACUUCUUUCUGCCUGCUGCCGUCAUCGUGGUUGUCCUCCACCAGCUCGCCGUGUGGCUGCCGCCUUCUCCCCACACCGCCGCCGAUGGACGUCGACUCCGACUCGGCCGCCGGGGGCAAGCCCACCCAGAUGGACCUCGGGGACUAGGAACUCUAGUUCGUCCCAAUCUCAAUUUACAGUGUCGAUGCCGAAGUGGAGGAGCUCCGUUUUUGUUUUGAUUUUCAAUUUCGUGCUCCAAGGAUCUGCAGCUCAUCCCCAUCUAUCAAUUAAAAUUUUCAUGAACGCCAGACCUUAAUAGAGACUCGGAUUUUAUAGUUUCUGAAAAUGUACUGCCUUUCUUAUCUUAUAAACAUGUAUUAUUGCUGAUGUACCAGUAAUGCUUGCCAAGACACAAAAACUUUAAUGAAUUCAACUAUGCAAGCGGCGAGUCCGUUUGACAGCUGGUUUCAUAUUUUAAGAUACCACUCAGUCAAAUUCUUGUGGUAAAUAUUGUCAAUUUGUCAUUGCUCCCAUCAUCUACUACUGCUACUACUACAUCAUUAGCUUCUUGUAUCUGAAAUUGAAACACAUUUUUCACCUUCCACAUUGGGAUAUCUAGAAACCAAUAGGAUUUUUUAUUCAUAAUAAUGUGUUCUUGAGGGGUGCAUAUCUAGAGAUGCAAGUGAGGACUGGAGUUCCUUAGUUUUGAGAUGCAUGAAUAUUUUCUCGAGAAGUACAGUAAUUUUGCUUUUGCAUUUGUAUUUUCUUCAUCAUUGAGUUCUCCCAGGAGCUUUUUCUACUUGAGAUUUAGCUCUUGUUCUGAAACUUUGGGAUCAACAGAGCAAUUUAAGUGGAAUUGUUCUCGUGAUUUUGAUGCCAGCCUAUCUAAAAUACAUUUUGUUUUCUGAGCAGUACAGAUGCAUGAGCAGUACAUACUUCUGCGGCAGUAAACGCAGAUAUGUCCAUGAUGAAUUUUCGGGCUCUGAUUCAUUGAUAGUGCUAGUAAUAUCAGAACUUAUUUGAUGGACUAGCUGUUCACAUCUGAUGCAUUUGUUGCAUUUCUUGGCCUUUUGUGUUCUCAAUGAACAAAUAUGUUUGAAUGGAUUCCUCUUAUACAUGUGUCCUCAAUGAUUUUAUCUGUAGAUUUUUAGGAAAAAACUGUUGUUAGGCUAGUAGUUUUCUGAAAUUUUCUGCUUCAACAGAGGAGCUCGAAUGAUGCCUGAAAUGCUGAACUUCUGUUUUUUUUAGUACUGCCACAUGAGCACUGAAAUUGUCUAGUUCAAUAGAGCAUUGUUGAUCGGUUAGUAUUUUUCUGAAAUACCCUAGUUCUUGUAGAGCAGCACAAAUGAAUUUUCUUUGAUCCUUCACUGAAUCAGUUAGCCAUAUGAUCUUAAUCCUUCACUGAAUCAGUUAGCCACAUCCUUCACUGAAUCUGUAGAGCUGUUUUUUGUCAUCUCAUUUGUGUGGUUUUGUUAGUACUUUAAUUAAAUCGAAGUCAGGGCAUAUUCUCUAACAAUUGUGCCUAGAUGUUCCUUUGCGCUGAACGUAUUGUUGUUGCUUAAACAUCAAGGUAUUCCUUAGUCUCCUUUGCUCUCUGACUAUACAUAUUCCAGAUAAAUUUAUAGCUGCUAUGGCACUUGUGAAGAGUGUCAAUUGGUGGUAAUAUCACGGGCUGUUAUCUGAACGGAAUAGCUGAUGGUGAUUCUGAUACUAUCAGAGACCAUAUGGACACCGUCGCUCACCGAACACUGCCGGUCGCCACAUCCCCAUUUCUCUGCUGCCACAGUCGCUGCUUACUGAAUGCUGGAAUGUGUGUUAAUUUUUUUUAUUCUUGAAUUGUUGUGGUGAUGUGUCUGUAAAAUUAUCACUUCUGUGCAGCUUCGUUGUGAUUUAAUGUGCAUUUCAGUGUAAUAAUCAUUUUUUUAAUUUUUCAUCUAUCGAUGUAUAUCUUGGAGAAAGUUUACUGAUAUUACCUUUCCUGACAAAAGGCGUAAAUAAAUUACCAACACUCUCUUUUA
This is a non-coding RNA of Oryza sativa Japonica Group (Japanese rice), 2403 nucleotides long. The record is from RefSeq and is a predicted model, not a curated record. Lineage: Eukaryota; Viridiplantae; Streptophyta; Magnoliopsida; Poales; Poaceae.